This 408-nucleotide ribosomal RNA is filed under the name Triticum aestivum (bread wheat). RNAcentral describes it as "partial small subunit ribosomal RNA". The record is from RNAcentral. Lineage: Eukaryota; Viridiplantae; Streptophyta; Magnoliopsida; Poales; Poaceae.
AUGACUCCUUCAACAUCUACAUCAACCAAACCUUCUCCAAGCAACGACGACAAGUCAAGUUAUAAGAAAACUUCGGCAAGUUCAAGUCGCCUUCCUCCUACGACAAGCAACUUCAAGCCGCGUGCUUCAUCAUCUACUCCAACCGAUGAGACCGUCAAAACAAGCUCCUUCAAGUGUUUCACUUGUGGCGGACGAGGCCACAAAGCCUUCCAAUGCACCAACAAGCGCACCAUGAUCCUCAAUGAUGAUGGCACCUAUGACUCCAUGAGUGAAGAGGAGAUGGAAGCCAUUGAGAAAGUGGCCAUGCACUGGCGCGUGAACGAGGAUGAAGAUGAUCAAGUCUUUUGUGAUGAGGAUUCGAGCCCCGCUCUCGUUGUCUCCAAAGUCUUGACACUUCAACAUCAAUAA